UACGGAGGGUGCAAGCGUUAUCCGGAUUCACUGGGUUUAAAGGGUGCGUAGGUGGGUUAGUAAGUCAGUGGUGAAAUCCCCGAGCUUAACUUGGGAACUGCCAUUGAUACUAUCAGUCUUGAAUACUGUGGAGGUUAGCGGAAUAUGUCAUGUAGCGGUGAAAUGCUUAGAUAUGACAUAGAACACCAAUUGCGAAGACAGCUGGCUACACAAAUAUUAACACUGAAGCACGAAAACGUGGGGAUCAAACAGG
This 253-nucleotide ribosomal RNA is filed under the name uncultured bacterium. Its description in RNAcentral is "partial 16S ribosomal RNA". It matches the Rfam family "Bacterial small subunit ribosomal RNA", at positions 524 to 776 of the family's 1533-position model. The record is from RNAcentral.